Molecule: non-coding RNA, 1775 nt
Organism: Gasterosteus aculeatus aculeatus (three-spined stickleback)
Lineage: Eukaryota; Metazoa; Chordata; Actinopteri; Perciformes; Gasterosteidae
Source: RefSeq, a predicted model, not a curated record
CUGCACUUUGAAAGCAGAGGGAAGCCAUUUUUACAGCAUUUACAAAAAAAAAAGAAAUGUGUCUGCUUUAGCAGUGCCUAGAACAUGUAGACUGCCUUCAAACUUCAAAUCCCAGCAUGCACUUCACCUUCCCGAUUGCUGUAUAAAUCCAUGCAUUAGAUGUCAAAGUAAGCAAAACCUGAUGCUAUUACUGGCCUAUACUAUAGAUGACUUCAUGUUUUAUUCUUGAGACAUAAUUCAUCGCACCCGUAGCUGUCAGAUAGAAACCUUCCCCACCGUGGUGCAAAAACAUGCUGAAUUAUUUAGCUGCUUAUUGGUGAUUUGGAUGUUUUGGGGGGGGGGUUGGUCACAAAGCAGAGUAGUGUCUCCGUGAUAUUCUGCAGGGCUGUGCUCCCCCCGCAAUGCAGUCCGCCGAUGCGAUGAGUUGACUCACAGCUGCAUUCCUGCACACCGCUGCAUCGACAACGCGCUGCUGCGCUCGAGGGGAAAAGGGUGAUGAGGCUCCCGAGCCAGCGGGACGGACGGAGACGCGAUACCGGCGCGCACACGCACGCCGCCGGGCACUGACAUCUGCUCCAUCCAAGAUGGGACGCGGGUGGAGAUGACAUGACAUAUGCUGUACGUGUGGGGCGGAGCAGAGAAAACCCUGACAUUAUCAUAAUAAAGGUUUCGGAGGGAUGAACUGUAGGUAAGAAUUAAAAAUCAAAAUGCACGUACUUUUUCUUGUAUUUGCCAAAGAACAAAAAAAACUUUGUGUCAUCAACACGUUUUUAGUGGCAAAAAGUGUCUAAGUUACCACAAAAUGGAAACAAGACAAAUACGUACAAUAAAUAAUUCUGCUGAAAUAUUCAAGUGACAUUGUGUUGUGUGAACAGGUCUACGUUUGUCAGUAACAAAUACAAAUUCUAACUGUCAAUAAUGUUAUAAUUUAUAACAAACUAUUGAGUCGCCACUUGAGUUUUUGUGGUUAAAUUUAACCUUAUUUAAGCUGGCCAGUUAAUGCACUGUAACACACAAAUGGAGGUUGGUCCAAGACAGUUUGAGGUGAAUAUAAUAAUCUAUUUACUGUUAGUGCUACAAGACCCAAAAACUAUGAAGGAACACUUAAUUAUUAUAACAUUUUCAUUUGUUAAAGAGACUAAAAAGAACAAUCAUUAAAGACUGCCAGAAAAGGGAGAUCUGUAAAGUUUUUUUAUUCACUGUUUAAAAAUUGGGAGCUUGUAUUUUAAAAUGUAACUUCGUGUGCAACAUAUGGCAAUAAAUAAACACUUUCUAUGCAGUUCCCAUUCACUGCAAUAGACGAGAACACAGAGGGACUUAAAUAGUCUUGUCAGAUACGGUGCUAGGUAAGGAUGUCAUUCAUAGAAAUGUGCAGUUUGGAGGGUACCUAAUCGGUUAUCCUACAAACUGCAAAACACAUAAUAUAGCCAGCAGUCCAAACUAGUAUAAUCUAGUGGAAGUGGCAGCAACCUAAAUACAGAUGUUGUUACAAAAUAAAAAAAUAGCAGCAUAAUUAGUUUAAGCAUUACUGUCAAGGUGCUGGAGCAUAUUGAGUCAAACUGCCAAAGAAAAAAGGUGCAGCAAUAUCUUCACAGUCUGAACAUUUUAGGAAUAAACAAAAUGUGACCCCUUCAUGUCAUGCAGAACGCAAUGGUGGGGCUCACUGGCAGUAGCAUGACCAAAACUGGGUUAAUGUUAAAAUCCCCCUCAUAUCAGACAAAGCACAAGUCUUAGUAAACAGUACACUCGUUAGAAAAUGGGCAACUUAAAAAAAA